UGGCUCAAUUGGUAGAGCAUGACGCUUGCAACGCCAGGGUUUGGGUUUAAUUCCCGA
Molecule: transfer RNA, 57 nt
Filed under: Salmo salar (Atlantic salmon)
Lineage: Eukaryota; Metazoa; Chordata; Actinopteri; Salmoniformes; Salmonidae
Rfam family: tRNA
About the family: Transfer RNA (tRNA) molecules are approximately 80 nucleotides in length. Their secondary structure includes four short double-helical elements and three loops (D, anti-codon, and T loops). Further hydrogen bonds mediate the characteristic L-shaped molecular structure. tRNAs have two regions of fundamental functional importance: the anti-codon, which is responsible for specific mRNA codon recognition, and the 3' end, to which the tRNAs corresponding amino acid is attached (by aminoacyl-tRNA synthetases). tRNAs cope with the degeneracy of the genetic code in two manners: having more than one tRNA (with a specific anti-codon) for a particular amino acid; and 'wobble' base-pairing, i.e. permitting non-standard base-pairing at the 3rd anti-codon position.
Source: Rfam by way of RNAcentral